Molecule: ribosomal RNA, 253 nt
Filed under: uncultured bacterium
Lineage: Bacteria
Description: partial 16S ribosomal RNA
Rfam family: Bacterial small subunit ribosomal RNA
Source: RNAcentral
UACGUAGGGUGCAAGCGUUAAUCGGAAUUACUGGGCGUAAAGCGUGCGCAGGAGGUUUUGUAAGUCAGAUGUGAAAUCCCCGGGCUUAACCUGGGAACUGCGUUUGAAACUACAAGGCUAGAGUGUGGCAGAGGGGGGUGGAAUUCCACGUGUAGCAGUGAAAUGCGUAGAGAUGUGGAGGAACACCGAUGGCGAAGGCAGCCCCCUGGGUUAACACUGACGCUCAGGCACGAAAGCGUGGGGAGCAAACAGG